RNAcentral lists this ribosomal RNA (468 nucleotides) under uncultured bacterium. RNAcentral's name for it is "partial 16S ribosomal RNA". It matches the Rfam family "Bacterial small subunit ribosomal RNA", at positions 28 to 523 of the family's 1533-position model. The record is from RNAcentral.
GAUGAACGCUGGUGGCGUGCCUAACACAUGCAAGUCGAGCGAUUCUCUUCGGAGAAGAGCGGCGGACGGGUGAGUAACGCGUGGGUAACCUGCCCUGUACACACGGAUAACAUACCGAAAGGUAUGCUAAUACGAGAUAAUAUGCUUUUAUCGCAUGGUAGAAGUAUCAAAGCUUUUGCGGUACAGGAUGGACCCGCGUCUGAUUAGCUAGUUGGUAAGGUAACGGCUUACCAAGGCGACGAUCAGUAGCCGACCUGAGAGGGUGAUCGGCCACAUUGGAACUGAGACACGGUCCAAACUCCUACGGGAGGCAGCAGUGGGGAAUAUUGCACAAUGGGCGAAAGCCUGAUGCAGCAACGCCGCGUGAACGAUGAAGGCCUUCGGGUCGUAAAGCUCUGUCCCCAAGGAAGAUAAUGACGGUACUUGAGGAGGAAGCCCCGGCUAACUACGUGCCAGCAGCCGCGGUAA